AGUGUGUGUGUUGCGAGUAGUGUGUGUGUGUGUGUUGCUAGUAGUGUGUGUGUUGUGAGUAGUGUGUGUGUGUGUGUUGUGAGUAGUGUGUGUGUGUGUGUUGCUAGUAGUGUGUGUGUUGCGAGUAGUGUGUGUGUUGUGAGUAGUGUGUGUGUGUUGUGUGUGUGUGCAUGGUUUAUCAGGUGAUGAGGCAGCUGAACUGAGUGAGAUUCCGAACAACCUGAUAAACGCCCCCUCCUCCUCUACCCAAACCCAAGCCCCACAGAUUUAAAUAGAAUAACGGCCAUUUUGGGCGUUCACUCGUCACAGUUCUGUGGUCAUCCUGUAACCCUGGCCUGAGAAGUGCACUCAGUGAUACGCUGUGAUGUUUGUGUUUUACGUGUUUGUGUUUACGUGUUUGUGUUUACGUGUUUGUGUUUACGUGUUUGUGCGCUUCUUCAGAGCUCAGCUCCGUUCCUGAGGAGGGCGUGCCCCCCACCCAGGCCAACGGCGAGGCCUACACUGCCUGGAGAAACCACAGCAACGCAGCUACGCAACACAGUGCCCUCCCAGAAGAGACGCAGGUGGGCAACGGAGCCCCUGUCGGAACCUCUGGGGCAAAUGGUGGCGGCGGCGGUGGUGGCGUCGGGGGCAGCAUGGAUCGCACAACUACCACCCAACACAAGCUUCACACCAUACCAAUGAUAGCUCUGCAUGACGAAGGGGAAUCAGGCAUGCGGUAUGCUCCUCCAGCCGUCUCAGUGGCCGCCGCCCCAGUUCAUAGCAAGCCCGCGGGCUCCUCACAACAACACUGGGCAAGAGCACAGCCCGAGCCGACGGCUAAUCGCACCGGCGAGGUUUUCCAGGAGCCUCCAGACUCGCUCCGAGUGUCAGAGAUCCGUUCUCAGCACACGUACGAAACAUUAUCCGACAUGGUAAAAGACCCGAGUCCGGAACUUUCCGAGAGCCCGGACGAACCGCUGGACGUGCCCUCCUACCAGUUUGUGACGCAGCUGGAACCCUACGCCACCUCGGCCCCCGACCUGACGGAACCCCAGCACACGUCAGCGCACAGCCCCGCCAUCGAGGUGGAGGAGAUCGCAGACCUGGAGACAAGCACACUAAGGCCUUGUACGCCAGGGUGAGCAGAAGAAUCAAGUGCCCCACGCCACCCCCCAUGCCCCCGCCUGAGGAUGACGAGGAGGAAGAGGAAGUGGCAGAAGUCGUACCACCGCUGCCAGACAGAGCCCCCGACACAGAUAACACCCUCCCCCAAGGGCUCUAGGCAACACUGUUGGAGCUUUAGAUGCAUCUACUCUUAUUUAUAUAUUCAAUAUGUAUUCUGUCUUUCCCAGCACAUCGUUUGUGGGUUAUGUAUUGUUUGCUACUUUAAAGAUAAAAUGAUUUUAAAAGCACUCUGCUCAAGCAGGAAAUGCACUUGAGGUUUUGCCAUAUCAACUCACAUUAGAGACAGACUGUCCACCAAUUCUGAACUCAAUGCUGUGGGAACAGACUACACUACAGAUAUUUAGGGUUAGGGGUUCAUGUCCUUUCCUAUUUUAUGUUCACAGUUGUAAACACCUAUUCUAGUAAAGGGAUUGACUAAACAAAUGCUUUAAAUUCAAAUGUAUUAUUAAAUGUGUUGAAUUGUUUAUUCAGAUGCAAGGUUAGAUUUCAAGUUUGAGGUGAGACUAGGCCUAUGCCACACACACACAACUCAUUGGAAAACUUCCAGAAUGUAUCAUUACAACAAGCGAAGGACUUUCAUCAAGCUAAAAGUGCAGCAGGUCAGCAAAUUAGAAUUCUUAAACUGUUGUGUACUUUGUCUGAAAACACUAGAGAAUAGAGCCCGUAUCAAACACACAGAACAUGUACAAUGUUUUAUCUUUAAAUAAGGAUGAUGAGGUUAGAUUAAAUAUUAACAUUUAAGAACAUAAUUUAAUGUAACAUAAAACAUGAGAAUUUGUGUAACAGAUGGGUUGUUUACACAACUGGGAUACUGUACUGUGUACACAGUGUGUGUGAUGCUCUAGUCAUCUAUUGACCAAUUUCUUAAUUUGAAGGGCAUCAUGUGUUCUCUUGGACUUGGUGACCUUUGACAUGAAUAAAAAGCAUAGCCUAGGUCGUGCGCGAUGGCAAACCCCCAACACACCCCACAGAAGCAUGACAGUGCCAAACCCUGCUGCUUGAGGUUGGGGAAGAGUGAGUAAGCAAUAAUACAUAAAGAUGACUUGCACAAAUAAGAAUAACUUUACAUAACACGGGUUCAUUUUCAUUUAGGUAGGUCGACAGCUAGUCCUAAAUAAGGGGACAUUUUUUUUUUUAAAUAAAUGCAACAUUACUUUUUGUUUUUACCAGAUAGACUUAAGCAAUUUAAAAGGUCGCAAUAAUCACCGCCAAAGACAAAAAGCUUUGGGUCUUUGUCAUGCUCGAUUAAAUUCCAUCAUUAACUUGCUGAAGUUGUCCCUUUAACAUAACGUUGAUAACAAUAGAUAACUCUGCAACCUUUGGCUAACUGUUUUAAGACACACUUUAACUGAAAUUGUCAUGUCAUGCACAAACCUCUCUGCAUCAAUGUAAAAAUAUUUUCACAGCAACUCAAAAAGUCUACAUUUCACUAACACAAGUAAGCAUUACAUCAUCUGUUCCCGAAAUCCAGUAGCGCCGGUAAACUCUAGCGCUCUCCCGUAAACUACUACCGCCGACGUGCUGAGAAGGAGCCGUUUAAACCACGUGCUCGGUGUCACGUAGGACACGCACAACAUGUACCAUGGCCGCCAGAGCACACGAGCGGGAUGCAUGGCACGCUACGUCAC
Clupea harengus (Atlantic herring) is the source of this 2795-nucleotide long non-coding RNA. NCBI's taxonomy places the organism in Eukaryota, Metazoa, Chordata, Actinopteri, Clupeiformes, Clupeidae. The record is from Ensembl.